AGAGUUUGAUCCUGGCUCAGGACGAACGCUGGCGGCGUGCUUAACACAUGCAAGUCGAACGGGGUCCAUGCUGUAGCAAUACAGCGGAAGACCUAGUGGCGAACGGGUGAGUAUCACGUGAGAAACCAACCCCGGUCUCUGGGAUAACAGGUGGAAACACCUGCUAAUACCGGAUGCCGUCGUUUCCUCGCAUGGGGAGAUGACGAAAGGGCUACCGGAUCGGGACGGUCUCGCGGCCUAUCAGCUUGUUGGGGAGGUAACGGCUCACCGAGGCUUCGACGGGUAGCUGGUCUGAGAGGAUGAUCAGCCACACUGGGACUGAGACACGGCCCAGACUCCUACGGGAGGCAGCAGUGGGGAAUCUUGCGCAAUGGGCGAAAGCCUGACGCAGCAACGCCGCGUGCGGGAUGAAGGCCUUCGGGUUGUAAACCGCUUUUACCAAGAAGGAAAAUGACAGUACCUGGAGAAUAAGGUGCGGCCAACUACGUGCCAGCAGCCGCGGUGACACGUAGGCACCAAGCGUUGCCCGGGUUUAUUGGGCGUAAAGAGCUCGUAGGCGGUUCAGUAAGUCGGGUGUGAAAACUCUGGGCUCAACUCAGAGACGCCACCCGAUACUGCUGUGACUUGAGUCCGGUAGGGGAGUGGGGAAUUCCUGGUGUAGCGGUGAAAUGCGCAGAUAUCAGGAGGAACACCAAUGGCGAAGGCACCACUCUGGGCCGAGACUGACGCUGAGGAGCGAAAGCGUGGGUAGCAAACAGGAUUAGAUACCCUGGUAGUCCACGCCGUAAACGGUGGGCACU
Molecule: ribosomal RNA, 800 nt
Filed under: uncultured bacterium
Lineage: Bacteria
Description: bacterial SSU rRNA
Rfam family: Bacterial small subunit ribosomal RNA
Source: RNAcentral